Molecule: transfer RNA, 74 nt
Filed under: Naumannella sp. ID2617S
Lineage: Bacteria; Bacillati; Actinomycetota; Actinomycetes; Propionibacteriales; Propionibacteriaceae
Description: tRNA-Gly
Rfam family: tRNA
About the family: Transfer RNA (tRNA) molecules are approximately 80 nucleotides in length. Their secondary structure includes four short double-helical elements and three loops (D, anti-codon, and T loops).
Source: RNAcentral
GCGAAUGUAGUUCAAUGGUAGAACAUCAGCUUCCCAAGCUGAGAAUGCGGGUUCGAUUCCCGUCAUUCGCUCCA